Molecule: ribosomal RNA, 463 nt
Filed under: Vreelandella stevensii
Lineage: Bacteria; Pseudomonadati; Pseudomonadota; Gammaproteobacteria; Oceanospirillales; Halomonadaceae
Description: partial 16S ribosomal RNA
Rfam family: Bacterial small subunit ribosomal RNA
Source: RNAcentral
CCUACGGGGGGCAGCAGUGGGGAAUAUUGGACAAUGGGCGAAAGCCUGAUCCAGCCAUGCCGCGUGUGUGAAGAAGGCCUUCGGGUUGUAAAGCACUUUCAGUGGGGAAGAAAGCCUUGGGGCUAAUACCCUCGAGGAAGGACAUCACCCACAGAAGAAGCACCGGCUAACUCCGUGCCAGCAGCCGCGGUAAUACGGAGGGUGCGAGCGUUAAUCGGAAUUACUGGGCGUAAAGCGCGCGUAGGCGGUCUGAUAAGCCGGUUGUGAAAGCCCCGGGCUCAACCUGGGAACGGCAUCCGGAACUGUCAGGCUAGAGUGCAGGAGAGGAAGGUAGAAUUCCCGGUGUAGCGGUGAAAUGCGUAGAGAUCGGGAGGAAUACCAGUGGCGAAGGCGGCCUUCUGGACUGACACUGACGCUGAGGUGCGAAAGCGUGGGUAGCAAACAGGAUUAGAUACCCCGUAGC